GAUGAACGCUGGCGGCGUGCCUAAUACAUGCAAGUCGAGCGAAUGGAUUAAGAGCUUGCUCUUAUGAAGUUAGCGGCGGACGGGUGAGUAACACGUGGGUAACCUGCCCAUAAGACUGGGGUAACUCCGGGAAACCGGGGCUAAUACCGGAUAACAUUUUGAACCGCAUGGUUCGAAAUUGAAAGGCGGCUUCGGCUGUCACUUAUGGAUGGACCCGCGUCGCAUUAGCUAGUUGGUGAGGUAACGGCUCACCAAUGCAACGAUGCGUAGCCGCCCUGCGAGGGUGAUCGGCCACACUGGAACUGAGACACGGCCCAGACUCCUACGGGAGGCAGCAGUAGGGAAUCUUCCGCAAUGGACGAAAGUCUGACGGAGCAACGCCGCGUGAGUGAUGAAGGCUUUCGGGUCGUAAAACUCUGUUGUUAGGGAAGAACAAGUGCUAGUUGAAUAAGCUGGCACUUUGACGGUACCUAACCAGAAAGCCACGGCUAACUACGUGCCAGCAGCCGCGGUAA
Molecule: ribosomal RNA, 515 nt
Filed under: uncultured bacterium
Lineage: Bacteria
Description: partial 16S ribosomal RNA
Rfam family: Bacterial small subunit ribosomal RNA
Source: RNAcentral